UCGAACUUAAAAUGGAUUCAGAAUUAAGACUCAAAGGCAAGCUGAAAAUGGGCUUAAAUUGGGCUCAAAAUCAAUUCAAAUGGACUUGAACCUAACACAAUUAAAUCCAAAUUGGCAUCCGAUAUACGGUGGACCGACCGCUAGGUCCACAAAAUAAGCCACGUGGUCCAUAGAAAUUCGUUCGGUCCACAGUCAUGGUCCAUGGGGCAACCUGGCUCCUGUGCAUUGAUCGAUGGCUGAGAUUAUGCUGAACACG
This 256-nucleotide long non-coding RNA is filed under the name Elaeis guineensis (African oil palm). RNAcentral's name for it is "long non-coding RNA (EGUI_LNC065787)". The record is from RNAcentral. Lineage: Eukaryota; Viridiplantae; Streptophyta; Magnoliopsida; Arecales; Arecaceae.